CAGGGAGGUACCUGCAGUCGAGGGGCAUCGGGAGGGAGCUUGCUUUCCUUGCCGGCGACCGGCGCACGGGUGAGUAACACGUAUGCAACCUGCCCUCUUCAGGGGGGCAACCUUCCGAAAGGGAGGCUAAUCCCGCGUAUAUCGGUUUCGGGCAUCCGGGAUCGAGGAAAGAUUCAUCGGAAGAGGAUGGGCAUGCGGCGCAUUAGCUUGACGGCGGGGCAACGGCCCACCGUGGCGACGAUGCGUAGGGGUUCUGAGAGGAAGGUCCCCCACACUGGUACUGAGACACGGACCAGACUCCUACGGGAGGCAGCAGUGAGGAAUAUUGGUCAAUGGGAGAGAUCCUGAACCAGCCAAGCCGCGUGAGGGAAGACGGCCCUAUGGGUUGUAAACCUCUUUUGUCGGAGAACAAAACCCGGGACGUGUCCCGGACUGCGUGUAUCCGAAGAAAAAGCAUCGGCUAACUCCGUGCCAGCAGCCGCGGUAAUACGGAGGAUGCGAGCGUUAUCCGGAUUUAUUGGAUUUAAAGGGUGCCUAUCCGUUCCGUUAAGUCAUGAGUAAGAUUGCGGAGGCUCACCCCGCCCUAGGGUAGACGCCGACACCAUUGGGUCGCCGAGAGACGCGCGCACUGACGCGUGGACGGUGAUGGCAAAUAAGGCAUAGCUGACUCGGCGUGUGAGGCGCAAUGGAUAGAUAUAGGGGCGCGGCGACGGGGGGAAACUGCGGGACUACUGAUCGCCACUGGGUGCAGAGGGCUCGACGGAGUGACCGGGGUACGGGGAUUAGAUGCCAUGGGGAGA
RNAcentral lists this ribosomal RNA (800 nucleotides) under uncultured bacterium. RNAcentral's name for it is "bacterial SSU rRNA". The stretch from base 1 to 557 matches the Rfam family "Bacterial small subunit ribosomal RNA". The record is from RNAcentral.